UUAAGUUAUUAAGGGCGCACGGUGGAUGCCUUGGCACUAGAAGCCGAUGAAGGACGUUACUAACGACGAUAUGCUUUGGGGAGCUGUAAGUAAGCUUUGAUCCAGAGAUUUCCGAAUGGGGAAACCCAGCAUGAGUUAUGUCAUGUUAUCGAUAUGUGAAUACAUAGCAUAUCAGAAGGCACACCCGGAGAACUGAAACAUCUUAGUACCCGGAGGAAGAGAAAGAAAAUUCGAUUCCCUUAGUAGCGGCGAGCGAAACGGGAAGAGCCCAAACCAAAAAGCUUGCUUGUUGGGGUUGUAGGACACUCUAUACGGAGUUACAAAGGACGACAUUAGACGAAUCAUCUGGAAAGAUGAAUCAAAGAAGGUAAUAAUCCUGUAGUCGAAAAUGUUGUCUCUCUUGAGUGGAUCCUGAGUACGACGGAGCACGUGAAAUUCCGUCGGAAUCUGGGAGGACCAUCUCCUAAGGCUAAAUACUCUCUAGUGACCGAUAGUGAACCAGUACCGUGAGGGAAAGGUGAAAAGCACCCCGGAAGGGGAGUGAAAUAGAACCUGAAACCGUGUGCUUACAAGUAGUCAGAGCCCGUUAAUGGGUGAUGGCGUGCCUUUUGUAGAAUGAACCGGCGAGUUACGAUUUGAUGCAAGGUUAAGCAGUAAAUGUGGAGCCGUAGCGAAAGCGAGUCUGAAUAGGGCGUUUAGUAUUUGGUCGUAGACCCGAAACCAGGUGAUCUACCCUUGGUCAGGUUGAAGUUCAGGUAACACUGAAUGGAGGACCGAACCGACUUACGUUGAAAAGUGAGCGGAUGAACUGAGGGUAGCGGAGAAAUUCCAAUCGAACCUGGAGAUAGCUGGUUCUCUCCGAAAUAGCUUUAGGGCUAGCCUCAAGUGAUGAUUAUUGGAGGUAGAGCACUGUUUGGACGAGGGGCCCCUCUCGGGUUACCGAAUUCAGACAAACUCCGAAUGCCAAUUAAUUUAACUUGGGAGUCAGAACAUGGGUGAUAAGGUCCGUGUUCGAAAGGGAAACAGCCCAGACCACCAGCUAAGGUCCCAAAAUAUAUGUUAAGUGGAAAAGGAUGUGGCGUUGCCCAGACAACUAGGAUGUUGGCUUAGAAGCAGCCAUCAUUUAAAGAGUGCGUAAUAGCUCACUAGUCGAGUGACACUGCGCCGAAAAUGUACCGGGGCUAAACAUAUUACCGAAGCUGUGGAUUGUCCUUUGGACAAUGGUAGGAGAGCGUUCUAAGGGCGUUGAAGCAUGAUCGUAAGGACAUGUGGAGCGCUUAGAAGUGAGAAUGCCGGUGUGAGUAGCGAAAGACGGGUGAGAAUCCCGUCCACCGAUUGACUAAGGUUUCCAGAGGAAGGCUCGUCCGCUCUGGGUUAGUCGGGUCCUAAGCUGAGGCCGACAGGCGUAGGCGAUGGAUAACAGGUUGAUAUUCCUGUACCACCUAUAAUCGUUUUAAUCGAUGGGGGGACGCAGUAGGAUAGGCGAAGCGUGCGAUUGGAUUGCACGUCUAAGCAGUAAGGCUGAGUAUUAGGCAAAUCCGGUACUCGUUAAGGCUGAGCUGUGAUGGGGAGAAGACAUUGAGUCUUCGAGUCGUUGAUUUCACACUGCCGAGAAAAGCCUCUAGAUAGAAAAUAGGUGCCCGUACCGCAAACCGACACAGGUAGUCAAGAUGAGAAUUCUAAGGUGAGCGAGCGAACUCUCGUUAAGGAACUCGGCAAAAUGACCCCGUAACUUCGGGAGAAGGGGUGCUCUUUAGGGUUAACGCCCAGAAGAGCCGCAGUGAAUAGGCCCAAGCGACUGUUUAUCAAAAACACAGGUCUCUGCUAAACCGUAAGGUGAUGUAUAGGGGCUGACGCCUGCCCGGUGCUGGAAGGUUAAGAGGAGUGGUUAGCUUCUGCGAAGCUACGAAUCGAAGCCCCAGUAAACGGCGGCCGUAACUAUAACGGUCCUAAGGUAGCGAAAUUCCUUGUCGGGUAAGUUCCGACCCGCACGAAAGGCGUAACGAUUUGGGCACUGUCUCAACGAGAGACUCGGUGAAAUCAUAGUACCUGUGAAGAUGCAGGUUACCCGCGACAGGACGGAAAGACCCCGUGGAGCUUUACUGUAGCCUGAUAUUGAAAUUCGGCACAGCUUGUACAGGAUAGGUAGGAGCCUUUGAAACGUGAGCGCUAGCUUACGUGGAGGCGCUGGUGGGAUACUACCCUAGCUGUGUUGGCUUUCUAACCCGCACCACUUAUCGUGGUGGGAGACAGUGUCAAGCGGGCAGUUUGACUGGGGCGGUCGCCUCCUAAAAGGUAACGGAGGCGCUCAAAGGUUCCCUCAGAAUGGUUGGAAAUCAUUCAUAGAGUGUAAAGGCAUAAGGGAGCUUGACUGCGAGACCUACAAGUCGAGCAGGGUCGAAAGACGGACUUAGUGAUCCGGUGGUUCCGCAUGGAAGGGCCAUCGCUCAACGGAUAAAAGCUACCCCGGGGAUAACAGGCUUAUCUCCCCCAAGAGUUCACAUCGACGGGGAGGUUUGGCACCUCGAUGUCGGCUCAUCGCAUCCUGGGGCUGUAGUCGGUCCCAAGGGUUGGGCUGUUCGCCCAUUAAAGCGGUACGCGAGCUGGGUUCAGAACGUCGUGAGACAGUUCGG
RNAcentral lists this ribosomal RNA (2633 nucleotides) under Staphylococcus aureus SMMC6076. RNAcentral describes it as "bacterial LSU rRNA". It matches the Rfam family "Bacterial large subunit ribosomal RNA", at positions 3 to 2634 of the family's 2925-position model. The record is from RNAcentral. Lineage: Bacteria; Bacillati; Bacillota; Bacilli; Caryophanales; Staphylococcaceae.